This 21-nucleotide non-coding RNA is filed under the name Caenorhabditis elegans. The record is from RNAcentral. Lineage: Eukaryota; Metazoa; Nematoda; Chromadorea; Rhabditida; Rhabditidae.
UGAUGGUCUAAUCAAAUCGCA